This 634-nucleotide unclassified non-coding RNA is filed under the name Hevea brasiliensis (rubber tree). The record is from RNAcentral. Lineage: Eukaryota; Viridiplantae; Streptophyta; Magnoliopsida; Malpighiales; Euphorbiaceae.
CGCCUUCUUCCCUUCCAAACUCCUAGAUAGAUAUCCAUCACUCUCAAUUUCAAUGUCUUCAACCUCCUUUGGGGCCACUUCAUCCUCAGACUUCAACUCGUGGGAAGAUAUAUUGCUCAAAAGCAUAAGCCAUCGUUUAGAAACGCUUGCGCAGGCAAUCCUUUCUUUGCCACCAGACAAUCGUCUGAAAAUCUCAAACAGGCACUCAUCGGGUAGAAUCUCGAUAGAAACGUUUGCCUUUGAUUCAACUCCUUCUCCACCAAACACAAAUGGAGCAGUGAUGCGAGACCUCUUGCGAGGAGGAAAAUAGACAUCGACAUGGUGAGGAGGGGACAAGAAUAAACUUGAGUCCUUGGGAUUUGGGUAUAUUGACCCUCCAGGGCAAAAAUCUUCACUACCGGAAUAGGCGAAGAGCUUCGACAUGAGUAUAGCUCAAAAAACCCCGGGAGGUGGAAUCUGCACGGAUUUGCACACAAAAACCCUCGAAAGAGAGCAAAAAGAAGAGAGGAAACGAAGAUGAACAACAAGAGCAAGAUGAAUUCAGCCUGUGAUUGUGAAUGCAUGAGAGAAGAACGGAGACGAAGGAGAUCGUUGAAACCCUAUCAGAUAGGGAAAAAAAAUUGGAAGAAGAAAG